UACAGAGGUCUCAAGCGUUGUUCGGAUUCAUUGGGCGUAAAGGGUGCGUAGGUGGCGCCGUAAGUCGGGUGUGAAAUUUCGGAGCUUAACUCCGAAACUGCAUUCGAUACUGCGGUGCUUGAGGACUGGAGAGGAGACUGGAAUUCAUGGUGUAGCAGUGAAAUGCGUAGAGAUCAUGAGGAAGACCAGUGGCGAAGGCGGGUCUCUGGACAGUUCCUGACACUGAGGCACGAAGGCCAGGGGAGCAAAAGGG
This 253-nucleotide ribosomal RNA is filed under the name uncultured bacterium. RNAcentral's name for it is "partial 16S ribosomal RNA". It matches the Rfam family "Bacterial small subunit ribosomal RNA", at positions 524 to 776 of the family's 1533-position model. The record is from RNAcentral.